CCUACGGGAGGCAGCAGUAGGGAAUCUUCCACAAUGGACGAAAGUCUGAUGGAGCAACGCCGCGUGAGUGAAGAAGGGUUUCGGCUCGUAAAGCUCUGUUGGUAGUGAAGAAAGAUAGAGGUAGUAACUGGCCUUUAUUUGACGGUAAUUACUUAGAAAGUCACGGCUAACUACGUGCCAGCAGCCGCGGUAAUACGUAGGUGGCAAGCGUUGUCCGGAUUUAUUGGGCGUAAAGCGAGUGCAGGCGGUUCAAUAAGUCUGAUGUGAAAGCCUUCGGCUCAACCGGAGAAUUGCAUCAGAAACUGUUGAACUGGAGUGCAGAAGAGGAGGGUGGAACUCCAUGUGUAGCGGUGGAAUGCGUAGAUAUAUGGAAGAACACCAGUGGCGAAGGCGGCUCUCUGGUCUGCAACUGACGCUGAGGCUCGAAAGCAUGGGUAGCGAACAGGAUUAGAUACCCCAGUAGUC
This 465-nucleotide ribosomal RNA is filed under the name uncultured bacterium. RNAcentral's name for it is "partial 16S ribosomal RNA". It matches the Rfam family "Bacterial small subunit ribosomal RNA", at positions 338 to 795 of the family's 1533-position model. The record is from RNAcentral.